RNAcentral lists this ribosomal RNA (253 nucleotides) under uncultured bacterium. RNAcentral describes it as "partial 16S ribosomal RNA". It matches the Rfam family "Bacterial small subunit ribosomal RNA", at positions 524 to 776 of the family's 1533-position model. The record is from RNAcentral.
UACGUAGGGUGCGAGCGUUAAUCGGAAUUACUGGGCGUAAAGUGUGCGCAGGCGGCCGAGCAAGUCGAGUGUGAAAGCCCCGAGCUUAACUUGGGAACUGCGCUCGAAACUACUUGGCUGGAGUGUGGCAGAGGAAGGUGGAAUUCCACGUGUAGCGGUGAAAUGCGUAGAGAUGUGGAGGAACACCAGUGGCGAAGGCGACUCUUUGGCCUGUAACUGACGCUGAGGCGCGAAAGCGUGGGGAGCAAACAGG